This is a non-coding RNA of Trichobilharzia regenti, 45 nucleotides long. NCBI's taxonomy places the organism in Eukaryota, Metazoa, Platyhelminthes, Trematoda, Strigeidida, Schistosomatidae. The record is from Rfam.
AUCCAGUUGACGAGUCCCAAAUAGGACGAAAUGCACAUGCUGGAU